Molecule: unclassified non-coding RNA, 342 nt
Filed under: soil metagenome
Description: partial contains 5.8S ribosomal RNA, internal transcribed spacer 2, and large subunit ribosomal RNA
Rfam family: 5.8S ribosomal RNA (bases 1-120)
Source: RNAcentral
GAUGAAGAACGCAGCGAAAUGCGAUAAGUAAUGUGAAUUGCAGAAUUCGGUGAAUCAUCGAAUCUUUGAACGCACAUUGCGCCCGCCAGCACUCUGGCGGGCAUGCCUGUUCGAGCGUCAUUUCAACCAUCAAGCCCCCAGGGGCUUGUGCUGGGGCCCUGCGGCUGCCCGCAGGCCCUGAAAACCAGUGGCGGGCUCGCUAGUCACACCGAGCGCAGUAGCACAUCUCGCUCAGGGCGUGCGGCGGGCUCCUGCCGUGAAACCCCCCACUGUAACCCCAAAGGUUGACCUCGGAUCAGGUAGGAAUACCCGCUGAACUUAAGCAUAUCAAUAAGCGGAGGA